GGGGCGGGGCGCGGCGCGGCGCGGCGGGCUGCGGCGAAGGGGCGGUGGCGAAGUCGGGUAAAGUUCAGCGCAGAGAAUGCGGGGCGCGGCUGCCGGGGGGGUGCUUGCCCCGCCCGGCCCCGCCCGCGGGCUCCCGGUUGGGGGGGUCGCGCCUGUGGGGGGCUGCGGGGCUGCGUCACCGCCAAAACGUGCCCGGGGCGGUGCCCGCAGCCCCCCCCGCCUGGGGGCGCCCGCUCGUGAGUCAGCGCUGCCGGCCGCCGGGGUGCUUUAGUUACUGAUAUUGUGGGGUUUGGGGUUUUGGGGUUUUUUUUCCUUUACAAGGGUCCAGAAGCCGGAGGUUUCGGCCCAGGAGAGGAAGCCGCGGGGCGGGGAGCGGCCGCGCUGCGGGCUUUGCCGCGGAGCGGGGCGGGCGGCCUGCGCCCUCCCGGGGGGCUCUUUGGGAACCGCAGCAGAGACUAACCGAGACGGGGUGCCAAAAAAAAAAAAAACUUGCCUAAAAACAAAAAAUAAGUGUGCUGGGCACUCCGCUGCCUGGGCGGGGAGGAGACGUCUGCAGAGAAGAAAUUAGUUCAUGGAAACAUUCAGAGUAAGGAAAGUGCAAAUUCAUUGAGAUGUGACUUCAGAAAAAGGAGCAACAAACCUCUCAUCACUGUGGACCCCCUUCUGCCGUGAUGCAGUGCAUGCAAAGGUACCUGUGCAUGUGAGUCGUCCCGUUAAGCAAAACGGAUCUUUUCCCAUGACUUCCUACUUGGCAUGAGGAAAGCCUCGGGAGGGGUCCCGACGGGCAUAUCUCGGUGCAUUGAUGUGGCGGCAGCAGCUACAUUUCAGAGGAAAGAUUCAGAGAAGCCUUCGGCCACUUUCUGGAAAACCGGACAGGCCGGCAACAUGUGAAGGAGGGAGUCCAUGGGGUCACGGCAUUCACUCCUCUUCUGCCUCAGAAAUCCAUUUCAUAUACUUCUCUUCAUAAACUUUUCAAACCCCAAAUAUUUGAGGGCAGGGUAGGCUUUCCCUGCUAUUUGUAUAGGAAGGAUAUUUGGAAAUCUCAGUUUCUAAACAACCAGAAACCUCCUUCUAACUUCUAGUCUAAAUUUCUUCACGUACUUCCACUGCUCACUAACAUUGUCCUGUAAUUUAAAUUGUUCCUUUUCCCUGAUUUUUUAAUCUCUAUUCUGUUUGAAAGAACACAUUUCUUCCAUCCCUUGCUUUCCUAAACUCAACUGGACAAGCUCCUCUGUCCUCCCGGUCAGGACAGGUCUCCCUGCCCUUGCUCUCCAUAGCUGCCUUCCUCUGCGCCGAUUCAGGCCCAGUGCAGGGCGCAGUAAAUUCCAGAUGAGAUUUCAUCAAGGAUAAAAUACACAAAGACAUCAGUAUUCCUUAUGUCAAUCAGAAAUGACUAAAGGAAAUUUGCAAAGUGAAAAGUAAUUUUUAAAUACAAUGAAGGCAACACUGAUAUUCCUUUAGAGAUACAAAGUUUCACAACAUGUGACUAAGAAGGUAACAACUUGUAAGGUCUUUAGACUUCAUUCUUUUUCCCUAGGAUUUUUUAUUUUCUAUUGACAGUUUAUCCAUAUACAUUUCAAGUCAGCCCUUUUACAGUGAUAUAAUAAUAAAGCACGUUGGCAUCAGGAUAGAUGGAUAAAGGCAGUAGGAUAGAUGGAUUAAAAUAAAUAUAUUGCUAAAUAUAAAACACAAGUCAGUUUUUCCAUACAGUAAAUGGCUAAAUUCUAUACCUACUUUUAUUGUUAUAGCUCUGUUACAGUCAAUGGACUGCAUAUACACAAAUAAAGACAGAACUGGUGUGGCAGCUUAAAUCAUCCCUACUGAAAAGUAUAUUACACUAUGUAGGACAGAGUAUAAACCAAUAUUUAGCUCAGCAAGCUCAGAUUUGAACCUUGAACUUCACUUAGAAUUAUGUCAGUUAUCCCUGAAUGGUAUUUUUGACAUGGAGGAUCAUAUGGAGGAUUACAGCCCAAAAUCCCUGCUGUAGCUCCAGGACUGUAACUCAUGUAAUUCCACUUCACGGUACCAACAGUGAAUUUGGACCAUGGCUUAAACU
Molecule: long non-coding RNA, 2056 nt
Organism: Dromaius novaehollandiae (emu)
Lineage: Eukaryota; Metazoa; Chordata; Aves; Casuariiformes; Dromaiidae
Exons: 2
Source: RefSeq, a predicted model, not a curated record